RNAcentral lists this ribosomal RNA (496 nucleotides) under uncultured bacterium. Its description in RNAcentral is "partial 16S ribosomal RNA". It matches the Rfam family "Bacterial small subunit ribosomal RNA", at positions 28 to 507 of the family's 1533-position model. The record is from RNAcentral.
GAUGAACGCUGGCGGCGUGCCUAAUACAUGCAAGUCGAGCGAACAGACGAGGAGCUUGCUCCUCUGACGUUAGCGGCGGACGGGUGAGUAACACGUGGAUAACCUACCUAUAAGACUGGGAUAACUUCGGGAAACCGGAGCUAAUACCGGAUAAUAUAUUGAACCGCAUGGUUCAAUAGUGAAAGACGGUUUUGCUGUCACUUAUAGAUGGAUCCGCGCCGCAUUAGCUAGUUGGUAAGGUAACGGCUUACCAAGGCAACGAUGCGUAGCCGACCUGAGAGGGUGAACGGCCACACUGGAACUGAGACACGUCCAGACUCCUGCGGGAGGCAGCAGUAGGGAAUCUUCCGCAAUGGGCGAAAGCCUGACGGAGCAACGCCGCGUGAGUGAUGAAGGUCUUCGGAUCGUAAAACUCUGUUAUUAGGGAGGAACAAAUGUGUAAGUAACUAUGCACGUCUUGACGGUACCUAAUCAGAAAGCCACGGCUAACUACGUG